UGGGGAAUAUUGGACAAUGGGCGAAAGCCUGAUCCAGCCAUGCCGCGUGUGUGAAGAAGGUCUUCGGAUUGUAAAGCACUUUAAGUUGGGAGGAAGGGCAUUAACCUAAUACGUUAGUGUUUUGACGUUACCGACAGAAUAAGCACCGGCUAACUCUGUGCCAGCAGCCGCGGUAAUACAGAGGGUGCAAGCGUUAAUCGGAAUUACUGGGCGUAAAGCGCGCGUAGGUGGUUUGUUAAGUUGGAUGUGAAAUCCCCGGGCUCAACCUGGGAACUGCAUUCAAAACUGACUGACUAGAGUAUGGUAGAGGGUGGUGGAAUUUCCUGUGUAGCGGUGAAAUGCGUAGAUA
RNAcentral lists this ribosomal RNA (349 nucleotides) under uncultured bacterium. RNAcentral's name for it is "partial 16S ribosomal RNA". It matches the Rfam family "Bacterial small subunit ribosomal RNA", at positions 355 to 696 of the family's 1533-position model. The record is from RNAcentral.